Molecule: long non-coding RNA, 316 nt
Organism: Myodes glareolus (Bank vole)
Lineage: Eukaryota; Metazoa; Chordata; Mammalia; Rodentia; Cricetidae
Source: RefSeq, a predicted model, not a curated record
CAUUUUCUUUGUACAUCUACAGUUGGUGGCCUAAAGGAACUCAAAGAAAACAGAACACAAGAAGGAAGCUAAGCGGGGAGAGCCAUGGAAGGGGACUAGGAGAACACAAGAAGGAAGGAACCAGAAGCAUUUGAUAUCCUGUGUCUGGCGUUACAACAGUUUGGAGCGGCCUGAUGUGAAUGCUAAGAACUGAACUCCAAUCCUCAGCAAGAGCAGUAUGCCCUCUUCACAGCUGAGUCAUCUCUCCAGUCCCUUGAUCCACAUUUCUAUUAGCGUCUCCCAACACGAUCACUCAUUAAACUCCAGUUAUAGCACU